Molecule: ribosomal RNA, 165 nt
Filed under: uncultured bacterium
Lineage: Bacteria
Description: partial 16S rRNA
Rfam family: Bacterial small subunit ribosomal RNA
Source: RNAcentral
UAGGGAAUCUUCGGCAAUGGACGAAAGUCUGACCGAGCAACGCCGCGUGAGUGAAGAAGGUUUUCGGACCGUAAAACUCUGUUGGUAGAGAAGAACGUUGGUGAGAGUGGAAAGCUCAUCAAGUGACGGUAACUACCCAGAAAGGGACGGCUAACUACGUGCCAC